CACUAUGCUCAGCCCUAAAAUUUGAUAGGCCCCUACGCCCCCUAUCCGCCCGGGUACUACGAGCAUUAGCUUGAAACCCAAAGGACUUGGCGGUGCUUCACAUCCGUCUAGAGGAGCCUGUUCUAGAACCGAUAACCCCCGUUAAACCUCACCCUCCCUUGUUAAUACCGCCUAUAUACCGCCGUCGUCAGCCUACCCUGUGAAGGCCCAGAAGUGAGCAAGAUUGGUAAGACCCAAAACGUCAGGUCGAGGUGUAGUGUAUGAGAGGGGAAGAAAUGGGCUACAUUUCCUAACCCAGGAAAUACGAAUAAUGAACUGAAAUAAGCAUUAGAAGGUGGAUUUAGCAGUAAGCAGAAAAACAGAGCGUUUCGCUGAAGAUUCGGCAAUAAAGCACGCACACAUCGCCCGUCACUCUCCCCGAGCCAUCCUAAUAAUUAAUACCUAAAAAACCACAUCUGCAAAGGGGAGGCAAGUCGUAA
Molecule: ribosomal RNA, 479 nt
Filed under: Neoglyphidodon crossi
Lineage: Eukaryota; Metazoa; Chordata; Actinopteri; Pomacentridae
Description: partial small subunit ribosomal RNA
Rfam family: Bacterial small subunit ribosomal RNA
Source: RNAcentral